GACGAACGCUGGCGGCGUGCUUAACACAUGCAAGUCGAACGGAAAGGCCCUGCUUUUGUGGGGUGCUCGAGUGGCGAACGGGUGAGUAACACGUGAGUAACCUGCCCUUUACUUUGUGAUAACUUCAGGAAACUGGGGCUAAUACCGGAUAGGAGCUCCUGCUGCAUGGUGGGGGUUGGAAAGUUUCGGCGGUUGGGGAUGGACUCGCGGCUUAUCAGCUUGUUGGUGGGGUAGUGGCUUACCAAGGCUUUGACGGGUAGCCGGCCUGAGAGGGUGACCGGCCACAUUGGGACUGAGAUACGGCCCAGACUCCUACGGGAGGCAGCAGUGGGGAAUAUUGCACAAUGGGCGGAAGCCUGACGCAGCAACGCCGCGUGCGGGAUGACGGCCUUCGGGUUGUAAACCGCUGUCGCCUGUGACGAAGCGUGAGUGACGGUAAUGGGUAAAGAAGCACCGGCUAACUACGUG
RNAcentral lists this ribosomal RNA (468 nucleotides) under uncultured bacterium. Its description in RNAcentral is "partial 16S ribosomal RNA". It matches the Rfam family "Bacterial small subunit ribosomal RNA", at positions 28 to 507 of the family's 1533-position model. The record is from RNAcentral.